Molecule: long non-coding RNA, 1936 nt
Organism: Dreissena polymorpha
Lineage: Eukaryota; Metazoa; Mollusca; Bivalvia; Myida; Dreissenidae
Exons: 2
Source: RefSeq, a predicted model, not a curated record
CUCUGACGAGGGAUCGAAAAAUUUCAGAAUCUUCCUAAAAGCCUAGUGGUAGAGUGUCUUCUUUGAUUGCAGGAGGAUGUGCUGCGGGGUUGAUCCCCAGAAGCGACAUUGAAAACUAGCCAACUUUGUUAUCUAAAAGGCUGCUAAACCUGAUAUACAAAGAUAAUGUGAAUUAUCUCUCACAUGAUGGUCAUCAGUUAUAUUAUAUAAAAACUCACAGCAGAAGUAAACAAUGGGACAAUAAUUAAUGAACGCAUCUUUCAUUUGACUUUGACACUUUGAGUUUGACAUGGCCUAGAUGGAAAUAUGUGACUUGACUUUGGGUCAAGUUCCCCAGGGGAACUACGUCCCCGUACCCUCAUUUUUUUCCGUACCAAAAUUGUUUUGUACCCAAUUUUUUUUUCGUACCCAAUUUUUAUUUUGUUGCAAAAAUGUUUUCGUACCCAAUUUUUUUUCGUACCCAAUUUGUUUCGUAACCAAGUUUUGUGUGCCAAAUUUUUUUUUCGUACCCACAUACACAAUUGUGAUGAUGUAGAUCAACUUAAAUUGAUGCUUGUAUAUAUCCAUCCUCUUCAAAAACAUCGUCACACCAGUACUGUCAGUACUUUGAUUACAAUAAUAUCAACGCCUUUAAUUUUAACUUUCUGUACUGGUCAAUGUGUGUUUUAACAAAGUAGUUUUUGAUGGCUUGUGAUAUUACUUGCCAGUCAAAAACGUAGCAAUGUUGGAUUGUAUGUUUAAGAAGUGUCAUUGGCAAAAAUAAACAUGUUCUUUUGUUAUUGUGGCCUUUAUCGCAUAUUGCUCAGUGGCAGCCGAUGUGAUUAUAUUUAUUUUAAAGAGGAAUAUACAUCAUUUUAUAUUAAUACAAUUAAUUCACUAUUUAAGAAUCUAUCCCAAAUUACUGCAAAAUCACCUUGCAACUAUUUGGUUUUGGACUUAAAAGGUUCGCAUGUACCAUUAUAUUUCUUUAUAGCCUAAAUUUAUUUUAGCCAAAACAAAUGUGUAUUUGUCUUCUGAAAAUAUGUUGAAUUAAUAAUUAAAAAUAGAAUGUAUGAAUAAAUGCUGCCAGAAAUCAAACUAGCAAAUUGUUAUAAAUCAAUAACUAACUCUUUAUUUGGAGUACACUUUACCUUUGAAUCUUUCAGAUAAUAUUGACUUGAAAUUUUGUGUAAGUGUUCCAAGAAUAUUUCAAAUCAAACAUCUAAAAAAAUAUGUAGCAAGUGGAGUGUAUUUAUUUUGUUUUAUGCAUACUGCAUAAUAAAUGUUAGAAAAUGUCAUAUACAUUUGUUUAAACAUGGCCUCUUGAAGAUGUUUGUAUUUUGGUGUCACGAGAUUUUUAUUAUCUCUCUAGGCUAAUUAUUUUUGUCAACCAGUGCAUUUUUUUUUAUGUCGACUGGGGGACAUAUUGUUUUUGCCCUGUCUGUUGGUUUGUUUGCGUCAAACUUUAACAUUGGCCAUAACUUUUGCAAUAUUGAAGAUAGCAACUUCAUAUUUGGCAUGCAUGUGUAUCUCAUUGAGCUGCACAUUUUGAGUGGUGAAAGGUCAAGGUCAUCCUUCAAGGUCAAAUUUAUGGGGGGGGGGGGACAUAGUGUUUUACAAAUACAUCUUGUUUCUGUUGCAAUUUGAUUUGUCUAUGUAACUCAGUUAUUGUAAUAUGACAGUAAAAUUAUAUUUUUAUUAUCAAAAAAGCUAAUAUCAUAUUCUUUAUUAGAAUUACACUGUGAUCUUUUGGUAUGAUAUGAUUUUUUUCAUUUUUUUCUGGAGCCUGAUUACCUGUAUUGCAUUUAUGCAUGUUGUUGCGAGCCUUAUUGUGUUAUAUUUGCAAAUGUUUAACAUAGGGUAGCUAGUUGAACGUAUACUCAUAACUCAGUAUUAACUGUACAUUGUUAGCAUAAUAUAUUAAUGUAUACUUAUUUAUCUAUAUAAAAGUUGUUCA